Molecule: ribosomal RNA, 253 nt
Filed under: uncultured bacterium
Lineage: Bacteria
Description: partial 16S ribosomal RNA
Rfam family: Bacterial small subunit ribosomal RNA
Source: RNAcentral
UACAGAGGUCUCAAGCGUUGUUCGGAUUCAUUGGGCGUAAAGGGUGCGUAGGUGGCGCGGUAAGUCGGGUGUGAAAUUUCGGAGCUUAACUCCGAAACUGCAUUCGAUACUGCCGUGCUCGAGGACUGGAGAGGAGACUGGAAUUUACGGUGUAGCAGUGAAAUGCGUAGAGAUCGUAAGGAAGACCAGUGGCGAAGGCGGGUCUCUGGACAGUUCCUGACACUGAGGCACGAAGGCCAGGGGAGCAAACGGG